Molecule: ribosomal RNA, 263 nt
Filed under: uncultured bacterium
Lineage: Bacteria
Description: partial 16S ribosomal RNA
Rfam family: Bacterial small subunit ribosomal RNA
Source: RNAcentral
AGGCACCUACGGGGCGCAGCAGUAGGGAAUUUUCGUCAAUGGGCGCAAGCCUGAACGAGCAAUGCCGCGUGAACGAGGAAGGUCUUCGGAUCGUAAAGUUCUGUUGAAGGGGAAAAAGAGCGGAGAGAGGAAAUGGUCUCCGAUUGAUAUUACGCUUCGAGGAAGUCACGGCUAACUACGUGCCAGCAGCCGCGGUAAUACGUAGGUGGCAAGCGUUAUCCGGAUUUAUUGGGAGUAAAGGGAACGAAGGCGGUCUUUUAAGU